This is a long non-coding RNA of Amphiprion ocellaris (clown anemonefish), 1939 nucleotides long. RefSeq lists it as uncharacterized. The record is from RefSeq and is a predicted model, not a curated record. NCBI's taxonomy places the organism in Eukaryota, Metazoa, Chordata, Actinopteri, Pomacentridae. The transcript has 2 exons.
GGGGAGGACCGGGGGAGGAGAAGUCCCCCCCAACACCUGGAGUACCGGGACCACCGAAGUCUGAGAACCCGGCAGACUGAGCAGGAUAGGACGGAGCUGAGGACAGAUCAAUACAACGAUCAAUACAGAACUUCCACUGAAGGUUGAAGUGUUCUUACUUCUGGACGUAGAUGAGGAUCCCCAGCAUGUACUGGUCCACCUCCAGACCCUCCAGAAGAGCCGUUUUACUGAACAGAACCAAACACAUGCUGGUUAUUCUACUGGAGGUGGAGGUAGGUCAUCAUCAGAGACGCUGGUUAGGAGAUGUUCUUAUCAUGUAUAUUAUUACUAUAUUAUUAAUAUUGGAUAUGUGUGAUGAGAUGUUAUUGUUGUAUAUUAUUAUUUUUCUACUAUAUUUUAUAUGUUGAAAUGUUCCUACUUGCAGACGGGACACCUCCAGGUUCCUCUCUCACAGUUCAGCUGCAGAUACGACUCCAGAUCAAAGCACUGGAAACAAACAGAUCAAUCAUUAAACCUGGGCCUGAUCAAUAGGACCGAUCGGUUAUCAGCUGUGAUUGGUGGGUUAUGGACAGGGCUGUGAUUGGUGGGUUAUGGACAGGGCUGUGAUUGGUGGGUUAUGGACAGGGCUGUGAUUGGUGGGUUAUGGACAGGGCUGUGAUUGGUGGGUUAUGGGUAGGGCUGUGAUUGGUGGGUUAUGGACAGGGCUGUGAUUGGUGGGUUAUGGACAGGGCUGUGAUUGGUGGGUUAUGGACAGGGCUGUGAUUGGUGGGUUAUGGACAGGGCUGUGAUUGGUGGGUUAUGGACAGGGCUGUGAUUGGUGGGUUAUGGGUAGGGCUGUGAUUGGUGGGUUAUGGACAGGGCUGUGAUUGGUGGGUUAUGGACAGGGCUGUGAUUGGUGGGUUAUGGGUAGGGCUGUGAUUGGUCGUUUAUGGGCAGGGCUGUGAUUGGUGGGUUAUGGGUAGGGCUGUGAUUGGUGGGUUAUGGGCAGGGCUGUGAUUGGCUCCCACCUGGACGUGUCGACAGUCGUGUCCUCUGGCUGGCAGCUGGAUGCGGCGGAACGUGAUUGGACACUUGAGGGAGACUCUGAUGGCCGUCUGCUCCACUCCGUCCUCUCCGUUUAACCCGGGGGUCCCAGGGAUGGAGCCGCUGCUGAAGUUCCUCUUUACUGAAACACACAGUACUGCAUUAGUACUACUAGUACUACUACUACUCGUACCACUAACUCUACUAGUACUACUAAUACUGAAACACAGAUUACUUUACUGGGUCUGAAUUAGUACUACUAGUACUACUAAUAGUAGUAGUCCUAUGAGUAUUAGUCCUACUAGUAGUACUACUACUAGUAGGACUAAUACUGUGAUCAACAGAGAAUUUAAUUCAAAGGUCCAACAUCUCAACAGAAACCUGCUAAUCAGCUCAUAAACCAGCUGAUACUACUAGUACUAUUAGUGCUACUGAUACUACUAAUACUGAGCUGGGACUAGUACUAAUAGUACUACAGGGUUCCCAUUCUUUCCCUGAAAUGAUUUUCCAGGACUUUUCCAGGACUUUUCCAGGACUUUUCCAGGACAUUUCCAGCCACUACAGAGACGUUAUCACGUCAGACACUAAUACAUUCCCGUCCCCCUCAUUCUUUGGAAGUGUUCUUUACUACAGCUGUAACUUGCAUUUACCCAGAUUGUUUCUAUAUUUAUUACUCAGACAUUUGAUGUGCAGUCUAUGGCUAUAAUUUAUCCAUGAAAAAUAAUUAUGACAACUGUGUGAUAGAAUAAUGCAAACACACCCACAGAUUACAGCGUAGCGCUUCACUAGCAUGACAAACUGGAGUUACAGUGUUCAACUGGGUAAUUCCCAACUCAACUUUCUCUUCUCUCUUACUUUCUCUGGUGCAAUUCAUUUAAAAAUAUUUGUAUAUUUUCAAUAAAUCACUGAAAAACUA